CGUUACCCAGUGUGUAUUUAGUCUCUGUGCUUCCUCCCUUUUCUCUAUCUAGUUCCAGUGCUCCUCAUGAUUUCCCUCUUGUGUUUUCAGUUGGACUUGUUGGAUUUAAUUUGCUUGGCCUUUAAACAUGAAGCCAAAAUACCAUCUCAAUGUGCAGGCAUAUUGCACUGGAGGAGCUCAGGCAUACGUUAAAGCGAUUUGGCUGGUGGAGCUGCAGGAGCUACACCACACCCGUAAAGAUCCCUCAGUUGACCGGAUGAGACUCCCGCUAGAUGGCGUCAGCUAUACUAAAGGAGACUCCACUUAAGCCUCACCGGGGGUAGCACUACACCGACAUGAUCCUACAAGCAGACUUUGCAGAUCGAGAAAAAAACAGCAGACUUUACAAGGCUCCCGCGCUGACUCUGCACUUCUCCCACGGGAUUUAAGGGUUUUAAACUAUGCCGCAGUCACAUCCAAGCGUGAUCCCCCCUUAGCCUCUCUAACAGCUCAGCCAGCUCUUAUUUCACAUCACGUUCCCCCCACGGGGCGACUGUAAACAAGCCUUGGGCGUCACUCCACCCCGACGCGAGCUUCCUGACAGAGAGGAAGACAGCCGCUAGACAGACGGCGUUCUCCACUGGGGGAAAAGGAAAACAGCCGAGCUCUGAGAAGUACAUCACCACCAGCAUCCCUUCAGAAGCAGCCUUUUGUACACCACUGAUAAGAGGUUUCUCAUGCAUGGGGUUGACACACGCAUGGAAUCUACACGGAGGCAAUGAAGGCAUGCCUCUUGCGGUUUGAAGAUGCAACAGAAAAAAGAUAGCGUUUGAUCCAAUUUAUUUUAAAUCCAUGUUUUUAAGACAGUCUCUCACAUAUUUGUAGUCUGUGUAGAAAGUGUCAGGUCGUCUCAUCCCCCCAGAGUAAGAGGAGGGAAAUGUUAAAAAUAGAAUAAAGAAGGCAGUAGCCACACCAGAAUUCCUUUAAGAUCUGUUUCAAAAACAGGUUCAUGCCAAAAGUUUAUAUUUUGAGCUCACACAAAUUUCACUUUCAGCUUUUGAGAGAAGAUGAUGGAGGAGUUGUUCAUAGGGAGUAUUCUGUGUAAAUCCUUGUAAGCUCUGUCUUUUUCUCACUGACACACAGACUCUACCGUUUCACCUUCGAUGCACUGGUCCAUUCAGGCCACUCUGCCCGAAGGACAUUAACUUUCUCUCCUUCACUUUCUCUAAAUCUUAUAUUUCACACAGUGAGAGACAGUCCAAAAGCUCGACGGUGCUGUCACUCAAGAAGUCCAGAAAGCCUUUAAAGUACAUUUUCAGACUCACUCUCUUAGUUUUUUUCUCCUCCAUUGGGCCAUUUUUUAAAUGUACUUUGAGAUAACACUGUCACAGUUUCAAAGAUGCACUGUUUUAUUACCAACAAAUCAUUUCCUCAUAAAAAUUGAGUAAAAAGCUUUGCAGGCUGAAAACAUUUAGAGGACAGCAAGGACACACUGUACAGCUAGUCAUCCAAUUUCAUAUUCAGCCUUCAAUUCUCACUUUUCAUAAAACAUAAGGGGAUAAUUUCACUUGACUGUCUGUCUCUCUCUUUUUCUUCACUUUGUUUCAGACUGACUGACAUGAGUAUAAAGGAGACAGAAUUUUAUUUAACUAUGUCCAAUGGCUCAUCCAGUUUGAGAAAGGUGUUGUUGAUAUUUAUAACUAUCCAAGAUUACAGACCAGAGACACCAGUUAGAUAAGCAAAUCUGCAACAGAAGCUACUCAACAUGUGUGCAGAACUAACAGAAUUAUGUCAUAAUACCAACUUUGAUUAUUGCAACUCCCUGUUCUUCAGCAUCAACACAAUGUCUAUUCACCAUUCACAUCUGGUGAGAAUUCUGCUGACAGACUCCUGCAGUCAUAAAAAUCCCUUCCUCAUUCAUAAGAGUUCCUGAUAAGAUUCUUUUGUUUAUUUGUAAAGCCCUGCACCGUCUCACCGCAACUUAGGUUACAGAACUCCCAUCCCCACACGGUUGAACCCCUCAGAUCCUCAGAUCAAGGCCUGUUAACAUCCUCACUCAAAGCAGAAAACAUCAAGGACACACAAGAUUCUCUUUGGUGUUGCACCAAGACUAACAACACACAAAGAAAGGAAAGUGCUGAUGGAAGCAAGGUGAAACCCCAAUCAGAAUUACCAGUAAAGCACAGCUGCUUCAUCCUCAUGCUCCAAUCAUGACUCUUCACCUCUGCCACACCAGCUGUAAUGCUCUUCAAAGCCACCGGCUCUGUCAAAGAGCAGAGGCACCAGGGAGGUAGUGUGCUCUGUACAUUUGCUGCUCAAAGUAGUGCAAUAGGUUUGCUACAGCUGGCUCCAUUUAGGACCUCUUCUUUCAUGUUUUUCUGUGUCUGACACUCUUUUUUAACAGAGAAUACUAAUGGUUUACUGUGUUGAGGGUAACCGACCGCAACUUUUUAUCAAAGUACAGCUUCUGAAAUAUUCUGUACGUCCAAAAAGGAGAGAAUUUUCUUGAGUCAGUUAUAAAUUAGCCUGCAUUCUUACUGAUUUUAGAUUUGAAUCUUCUGUUCCUUGGAAAUUGGCUCUUCAUCCUCAUCAAUAUUUUUUCUUGUUUGUGAGUCAGAUCAAGACAAAAAAUAUUAAAUGAUUCUUUGGUCUGCGCUUCACUCUUUAACAAAGUUGAAUAAAAAAGCCAAGUACUGAGGAUGAUACUAAAUCAAAUAAAUUUGAUUUUGGACAUCCUCAGGUUGGCAUGCAUUGCUUUACAUUGUUAGUGUGGACUAAAAACUGUUUUAAAAUGGAGAAUAAUAGAAUUUUAAAUGUAAUGAAAAAUGCAAUUAAUCCUGAUUAUCGAAAUUCAGCAAGUAAUCAUGACUUAAUGAAAUAUCAUUUGACAGCCCUGCUUUUAUCACAAAAAGAAGUACGAUUAGUAUAUAAAUGUUGUGUUUGACAACUUGUAGAUUAAACUAACCAACAGGAAAAAUAUCUUUUAACAUUAGAUCAACCUUCUCCUGCUGCACCAUUUAGAUACUGACAUUUAUUUAUUUAUUUUUGAACUUUGAAUUUGUUAUUAUUUUUCAAUUGACACACAAGAAGCACACAUACAGUAGAUGUAUUACACUUACACUUGUUAUUCUGAAAUAUCUCUAAUGAGACGAUUUCCUACAUCUAAAAUCUUUCUCAUUACAUUCUUGUCCUAUUUUACAAUAUACACACAGGUUAUAGUGUAAAUUACACAUGUGUAUUCAGGGUAAAAUUGAACUGAAAUUAAAUGAAAUCAAAUAAAGAAAGAAAAUUCAAGAGGUGGCUAGAGCUCAAGUAACGCCUGAAUCACUGGUGCCCAUGUUUUGAGAAACUAAUUUGUUUUCAGCUGCAACCUUGCUGUGAUUUUCUCCAUGAUAAAGACAGCUUUAACUCUGCCCCUCCAUUGUGUAAUGCUGUCAUGUAGUGGAUUUAACCAGAAUGUUGUUCAUGGUUUUUAGCUAUUGAAAGAACAACUCUUAGUAGGGACAUUAAAUAUCUGUCAUUAAUAUUAUCCUGACAUUCAUUUUUGACAUGAAUGCAUCAAUUAAAAUGUU
Notolabrus celidotus (New Zealand spotty) is the source of this 3551-nucleotide long non-coding RNA. RefSeq lists it as uncharacterized. The record is from RefSeq and is a predicted model, not a curated record. The transcript has 4 exons. NCBI's taxonomy places the organism in Eukaryota, Metazoa, Chordata, Actinopteri, Labriformes, Labridae.